AAAUAAUACAAUUAAAUUAUUUUAGUUUUAAUUAAUUGAUAAUUUUAAAUUUAAAUUAUAAAUUUAAUAAGUGAAAUUUUAAAUUUUUUAAAGAUUUAUAUUUGUUAAUGAUUUAAGAAAUUUUAAGUAUAAACUAGGAUUAGAUACCCUAUUAUUUAAAAUGUAGUUUAAUAAACUAAAUUAGUAAAAGAUAUGUUCUCAAAAAUUAAAGAUUUUGGCGGUAUUUUAGUCUAUUCAGAGGAACCUGUUCUGUAAUUGAUAAUCCACGAUUUAAUUUACUUGUUGUUUUAGUUUACAUAUCGUCGUAGUUUGAAUAUUUUAUUAGAAUUUUAAUAUUCAAGAUUUAUAAUAAUAAAAAAAAUCAGAUCAAGGUGUAGUUUAUAAUCAAGAAGAAAUGGGUUACUAUAAUAAAAAUUUAGAAUAAUUAUUUUUAAAGUAAUUUGAAUAAGGAUUUGAAAGUAAUGUUAAUUAAUUAAUUAA
Molecule: ribosomal RNA, 480 nt
Filed under: Chrysomela cuprea
Lineage: Eukaryota; Metazoa; Arthropoda; Insecta; Coleoptera; Chrysomelidae
Description: partial 12S ribosomal RNA
Source: RNAcentral